Molecule: long non-coding RNA, 267 nt
Filed under: Mytilus galloprovincialis (Mediterranean mussel)
Lineage: Eukaryota; Metazoa; Mollusca; Bivalvia; Mytilida; Mytilidae
Source: RNAcentral
UGUCAAUGUGGGGUUUACUAACCACACUCGUACGAAAAAUCUUUUUUUUUUUACAGAAACAAGGGUCGGUAUUUCGUUCAUUUUAAAAAUAUGUAUGAACACAUUUUUACUUACCUUUCGUUUAAUGUUUUUGGUCUGUUUCAGAUUCGAAAAUGCUGUUUCCCUUGUGAAUAAGACAUUAACUCUCUCGAAUUUUCUAUCGAUGUUCCUCGAUGUUCAACGUAACAUUUGUGGUUCAAAUUUAAAAAGAUGCAUGCGCAAUGAGCU